RNAcentral lists this ribosomal RNA (469 nucleotides) under uncultured bacterium. RNAcentral describes it as "bacterial SSU rRNA". It matches the Rfam family "Bacterial small subunit ribosomal RNA", at positions 392 to 867 of the family's 1533-position model. The record is from RNAcentral.
CCAUGCCGCGUGAAGGAUGAAGGCUUCUGGGUUGUAAACUUCUUUUAUAUAGGAAGGAAAAGGUCAUGCGUGACCAAUUGACGGUACUAUAUGAAUAAGCACCGGCUAACUCCGUGCCAGCAGCCGCGGUAAUACGGAGGGUGCAAGCGUUGUCCGGAUUUAUUGGGUUUAAAGGGUGCGUAGGCGGUACGCUAAGUCAGUGGUGAAAUCCCGCAGCUCAACUGCGGAACUGCCAUUGAUACUGGCGUACUUGAGUACAGACGAGGUAGGCGGAAUUUAUGGUGUAGCGGUGAAAUGCAUAGAUACCAUAAAGAACACCGAUAGCGAAGGCAGCUUACUAGACUGUAACUGACGCUGAGGCACGAAAGCGUGGGGACGACAGGAUUAGAUACCCUGGUAGUCCACGCCGUAAACGAUGAUCCUCGAUGUGUGCGAUAAACUGUACGCGUCCAAGCGAAACGUUAAGUGA